Molecule: long non-coding RNA, 298 nt
Organism: Girardinichthys multiradiatus
Lineage: Eukaryota; Metazoa; Chordata; Actinopteri; Cyprinodontiformes; Goodeidae
Exons: 4
Source: RefSeq, a predicted model, not a curated record
GGGGAGUCAAAGCAAGACAUCCAGAAAUGUUUGCAAAUCACAAGGGCAUUUAUGAGAAAGAAGGGUUACAGUGCGGUGGACAUGUGAUACUGUCAAACAUCCCAAACAACAGGACAGUACAUUUUGUGGAGUAUUUGCAUUGAAGUUUGCAGAAAGACUCCUUGCAAAAGAGGCUGUGGAUUUCCCUGUUUUCACUGAGGCGGUCAACAGCCUCAGGUUUGACAUUGCUGUGAGACUUCUCCUUAACAGUGAUGACUUAGAAGACUUGUGCCACUUCUGCGGAGAGAUGGAAAAAGAG